AAGGCCACCCUCCCUGCCUUUUCAGCUCCAAGGCAAGGUGAAGGCCAUGGGAUCUGGCCAUCUGUGUGCAUCAGCACCCCAGAAGCCUCCUCCCUUCAGCGUUCCUCCUCCAGCUCUUGGACAACUCCUGUGUGCCUUGGAGAGAAAACAAGCUGACCGCAUCCAAAUCAUGAAAGAGAAAGAAGGCUCUCUGAAGCUCAAGGUUUUGAUGAACUACAGAAACACAGCAAAUCAAACCUCACAGGGAGCAUGUAUAGAUGAACAUAUACUCCAUAAAAAAUAAACAGCUUGCCAAGAGGGACAGGAAAUCUUUUCUGUAAGCUUCAUGUUUCUACAAAAAGGCAAGAUCAAAGAUCCUGCUGGAUUUAGGAUGGAAAGUCUGGAGAUCAGUUCAAAUGGCAUGUAAACAGUGUCAGAUUCUUGCAGAAAAUGUCUAUGGUUGUCAAGUCAUUUCAAAAAAAUAAGAAAAGCAAAAUGGAUGAACUGCCUGACUUUUAAUUUGUUCCCCCAAUUAAUCCAUGAAAUUCAUGUGCGUGUUGCAGGGACAUUAGGAUAGGUGCCUUUCAAGGAUUUUGAAGAAUAGAUGGAAAGUGGUUUGGCUGAUGUGGGUCUUCCAGGCUGUGUGGCCAUGUUCCAGAAGUUUUGGUUCCUAACGUGAAAGUGGUUUCUUUCACUAGCUUCCUGGAAAUUUAAUUUGAAUGGAAGAUGGGUUUCCUAAAGAAGACAGAUCUGCUAUUGGCACUCAUGCCCCAGCUUUUCCCAACCUAGUUCUCAUCAGUAAUGUUGGACAACCAAAUAUAUAGGCAAAUGUUGGGGAGGACUGGUGCAAUAAUACAUCACUCAUAACUUCCUAUUAUUGCUAAAUAUGGCUAUGCUAAUGCACAAUGGAUUCCAGGCUACACCAGUAAUAUACAUAGAUUUGAAUAGGUAAAGAUGAUUCUAAAGGCAGGAGC
Molecule: long non-coding RNA, 953 nt
Organism: Python bivittatus (Burmese python)
Lineage: Eukaryota; Metazoa; Chordata; Lepidosauria; Squamata; Pythonidae
Source: RefSeq, a predicted model, not a curated record